Molecule: small nuclear RNA, 23 nt
Filed under: Arabidopsis thaliana (thale cress)
Lineage: Eukaryota; Viridiplantae; Streptophyta; Magnoliopsida; Brassicales; Brassicaceae
Description: snRNA_06277
Source: RNAcentral
CAUAACCUAUAACAAUUUCCAAA